GUAGGGAAUAUUGGACAAUGGGCGAAAGCCUGAUCCAGCCAUGCCGCGUGUGUGAAGAAGGUCUUCGGAUUGUAAAGCACUUUAAGUUGGGAGGAAGGGCAGUAAGUUAAUACCUUGCUGUUUUGACGUUACCGACAGAAUAAGCACCGGCUAACUUCGUGCCAGCAGCCGCGGUAAUACGAAGGGUGCAAGCGUUAAUCGGAAUUACUGGGCGUAAAGCGCGCGUAGGUGGUUUUGUAAGUUGGAGGUGAAAUCCCCGGGCUCAACCUGGGAACUGCCUCCAAAACUGCAUGACUAGAGUACGGUAGAGGGUAGUGGAAUUUCCUGUGUAGCGGUGAAAUGCGUAGAUAUAGGAAGGAACACCAGUGGCGAAGGCGACUACCUGGACUGAUACUGACACUGAGGUGCGAAAGCGUGGGGAGCAAACAGGAUUAGAAACCCGGGUAGUCC
Molecule: ribosomal RNA, 450 nt
Filed under: uncultured bacterium
Lineage: Bacteria
Description: partial 16S ribosomal RNA
Rfam family: Bacterial small subunit ribosomal RNA
Source: RNAcentral